Molecule: ribosomal RNA, 301 nt
Filed under: uncultured bacterium
Lineage: Bacteria
Description: partial 16S ribosomal RNA
Rfam family: Bacterial small subunit ribosomal RNA
Source: RNAcentral
CAGUAGCCGCGGUAAUACGAAGGGGGCUAGCGUUGCUCGGAAUGACUGGGCGUAAAGGGCGCGUAGGCGGAUUGUUUAGUUAGGCGUGAAAUUCCUGGGCUUAACCUGGGGACUGCGCUUAAUACAGGCAGUCUAGAGUGAGGAAGAGGGUUGUGGAAUUCCCAGUGUAGAGGUGAAAUUCGUAGAUAUUGGGAAGAACACCGGUGGCGAAGGCGGCAACCUGGUCCUUGACUGACGCUGAGGCGCGAAAGCGUGGGGAGCAAACAGGAUUAGAUACCCGAGUAGUCCCUGUCUCUUAUAC